This 466-nucleotide ribosomal RNA is filed under the name uncultured bacterium. Its description in RNAcentral is "partial 16S ribosomal RNA". It matches the Rfam family "Bacterial small subunit ribosomal RNA", at positions 28 to 507 of the family's 1533-position model. The record is from RNAcentral.
GAUGAACGCUGGCGGCGUGCUUAACACAUGCAAGUCGAACGGAAAGGCUCCUGCUUGCAGGGGUACUCGAGUGGCGAACGGGUGAGUAACACGUGGGUGAUCUGCCCUGCACUUCGGGAUAAGCCUGGGAAACUGGGUCUAAUACCGGAUAGGACGAUGGUUUGGAUGCCAUUGUGGAAAGUUUUUCGGUGUGGGAUGAGCUCGCGGCCUAACAGCUUGUUGGUGGGGUAAUGGCCUACCAAGGCGUCGACGGGUAGCCGGCCUGAGAGGGUGUACGGCCACAUUGGGACUGAGAUACGGCCCAGACUCCUACGGGAGGCAGCAGUGGGGAAUAUUGCACAAUGGGCGCAAGCCUGAUGCAGCGACGCCGCGUGGGGGAUGACGGCCUUCGGGUUGUAAACUCCUUUCGCUAGGGACGAAGCGUUUUGUGACGGUACCUGGAGAAGAAGCACCGGCUAACUACGUG